UGGGGAAUAUUGCACAAUGGGCGGAAGCCUGAUGCAGCGACGCCGCGUGGGGGAUGAAGGCCUUCGGGUUGUAAACUCCUUUCGACAGGGACGAAGCUUUUGUGACGGUACCUGUAUAAGAAGCACCGGCGAACUACGUGCCAGCAGCCGCGGUAAUACGUAGGGUGCGAGCGUUGUCCGGAAUUACUGGGCGUAAAGAGCUCGUAGGUGGUUUGUCGCGUCGUCUGUGAAAUUCCGGGGCUUAACUCCGGGCGUGCAGGCGAUACGGGCUGACUUGAGUGCUGUAGGGGAGUCUGGAAUUCCUGGUGUAGCGGUGAAAUGCGCAGAUAUCAGGGGGAACACCGAUGGCGAAGGCAGGUCUCUGGGCAGUAACUGACGCUGAGGAGCGAAAGCAUGGGUAGCGAACAGG
RNAcentral lists this ribosomal RNA (409 nucleotides) under Actinomycetes bacterium. Its description in RNAcentral is "Actinobacteria bacterium partial 16S ribosomal RNA". It matches the Rfam family "Bacterial small subunit ribosomal RNA", at positions 355 to 776 of the family's 1533-position model. Lineage: Bacteria; Bacillati; Actinomycetota; Actinomycetes. The record is from RNAcentral.